This 253-nucleotide ribosomal RNA is filed under the name uncultured bacterium. RNAcentral describes it as "partial 16S ribosomal RNA". It matches the Rfam family "Bacterial small subunit ribosomal RNA", at positions 524 to 776 of the family's 1533-position model. The record is from RNAcentral.
UACGUAGGGUGCAAGCGUUGUUCGGAAUCACUGGGCAUAAAGCGCAUGUAGGCGGCUCGAUCAGUCGGGUGUGAAAGCCCCUGGCUCAACCAGGGAACUGCAUUCGAUACUGUCGGGCUCGAGGGUGGCAGAGGAGAGUGGAACUCGUAGUGGAGCGGUGAAAUGCGUAGAUAUUACGAGGAACACCGGUGGCGAAAGCGACUCUCUGGGCCAUUCCUGACGCUGAGAUGCGAAAGCCAGGGGAGCAAACGGG